UCAGUGCAGGCCUUAAUACGGUGAAACCGCGAAUGGCUCAUUAAAUCAGCUAUGGUUUAUUGGAUCGUACCCGUUAAAUGGAUAACUGUAAUAACUCUAGAGCUAAUACAUGCCUCGAUGCCCUGACCUGAGCCUGGUGNNNNAGCUAGGAGGGAGGAAUGGGUGCACUUAUUAGAUCAGAAGCCAACCACCGACCUCGCUCCUGUGCGCUCUGGCGGAGGAGUGGGGUGGGUUGCGACACUUCUGGUGACUCUGGAUAAUUGUUACAGAUCGCAGUCGGCCUUGAGUCGGCGACGGGUCCUUCAAAUGUCUGCCCUAUCAACUUUCGAUGGUAGGUGACCUGCCUACCAUGGUGAUAACGGGUAACGGGGAAUCAGGGUUCGAUUCCGGAGAGGGAGCCUGAGAAACGGCUACCACUUCCAAGGGAGGCAGCAGGCGCGCAAAUUACCCACUCCCAGCACGGGGAGGUGGU
RNAcentral lists this ribosomal RNA (472 nucleotides) under Skrjabinoporus merops. RNAcentral describes it as "bacterial SSU rRNA". It matches the Rfam family "Eukaryotic small subunit ribosomal RNA", at positions 60 to 468 of the family's 1831-position model. The record is from RNAcentral. Lineage: Eukaryota; Metazoa; Platyhelminthes; Cestoda; Cyclophyllidea; Metadilepididae.